GUAUAGCAUUGUCUAGUGGUUAGAGCGUCCGCCUUGGAUGCGGGAGGUCGCGGGUUCAAAACCCGGUCAAGUCAUGCC
This is a non-coding RNA of Potamilus streckersoni, 78 nucleotides long. Lineage: Eukaryota; Metazoa; Mollusca; Bivalvia; Unionida; Unionidae. The record is from the annotation of a GenBank genome assembly.